Molecule: ribosomal RNA, 501 nt
Filed under: uncultured bacterium
Lineage: Bacteria
Description: partial 16S ribosomal RNA
Rfam family: Bacterial small subunit ribosomal RNA
Source: RNAcentral
ACUCAAAUGAAUUGACGGGGGCCCGCACAAGCGGUGGAGCAUGUGGUUUAAUUCGACGCAACGCGAAGAACCUUACCUGGGCUUGACAUCCCCGGAACGCUCUUGAAAGAGAGGGGUGCCCCGCAAGGGGAGCCGGGAGACAGGUGCUGCAUGGCUGUCGUCAGCUCGUGUCGUGAGAUGUUGGGUUAAGUCCCGCAACGAGCGCAACCCUUGUCGUCAGUUGCCAUCAUUAAGUUGGGCACUCUGGCGAGACUGCCGGUGAUAAACCGGAGGAAGGUGGGGAUGACGUCAAGUCCUCAUGGCCUUUAUGCCCAGGGCUACACACGUGCUACAAUGGCCGGUACAGAACGAUGCCAACCCGCAAGGGGGAGCAAAUCGGCAAAAACCGGUCCCAGUUCAGAUUGGAGUCUGCAACUCGACUCCAUGAAGGUGGAAUCGCUAGUAAUCGAGGAUCAGCACGCCUCGGUGAAUACGUUCCCGGGCCUUGCACACACCGCCCGU